This 445-nucleotide ribosomal RNA is filed under the name uncultured bacterium. Its description in RNAcentral is "bacterial SSU rRNA". It matches the Rfam family "Bacterial small subunit ribosomal RNA", at positions 331 to 793 of the family's 1533-position model. The record is from RNAcentral.
CCAGACUCCUACGGGAGGCAGCAGUGGGGAAUAUUGCACAAUGGGGGAAACCCUGAUGCAGCGACGCCGCGUGAGCGAUGAAGUAUUUCGGUAUGUAAAGCUCUAUCAGCAGGGAAGAAAAUGACGGUACCUGACUAAGAAGCCCCGGCUAACUACGUGCCAGCAGCCGCGGUAAUACGUAGGGGGCAAGCGUUAUCCGGAUUUACUGGGUGUAAAGGGAGCGUAGACGGUCCUGCAAGCCAGAUGUGAAAUCCCCGCGCUCAACGUGGGAACUGCCUUUGAAACUGGCAAACUGGAGUGUGUGAGAGGAUAGUGGAAUUCCAGGUGUAGGAGUGAAAUCCGUAGAUAUCUGGAGGAACAUCAGUGGCGAAGGCGACUAUCUGGCACAUAACUGACGCUGAGGAGCGAAAGCGUGGGUAGCAAACAGGAUUAGAUACCCCUGUAC